Molecule: ribosomal RNA, 484 nt
Filed under: uncultured bacterium
Lineage: Bacteria
Description: partial 16S ribosomal RNA
Rfam family: Bacterial small subunit ribosomal RNA
Source: RNAcentral
AUUGAACGCUGGCGGCAUGCUUUACACAUGCAAGUCGAACGGCAGCGCGGGCUUCGGCCUGGCGGCGAGUGGCGAACGGGUGAGUAGUGCAUCGGAACGUGCCCAGUAGUGGGGGAUAGCGCGGCGAAAGCCGGAUUAAUACCGCAUACGACCUGAGGGUGAAAGCGGGGGACCGAAAGGCCUCGCGCUAUUGGAGCGGCCGAUGUCGGAUUAGCUAGUUGGUGGGGUAAAGGCUUACCAAGGCGACGAUCCGUAGCUGGUCUGAGAGGACGACCAGCCACACUGGGACUGAGACACGGCCCAGACUCCUACGGGAGGCAGCAGUGGGGAAUUUUGGACAAAGGGGGCAACCCUGAUCCAGCCAUGCCGCGUGCGGGAAGAAGGCCUUCGGGUUGUAAACCGCUUUUGUUCGGGAAGAAGUCCUCUGGGCUAAUACCCCGGGGGGAUGACGGUACCGGAAGAAUAAGCACCGGCUAACUACGUG